Molecule: long non-coding RNA, 541 nt
Filed under: Ananas comosus (pineapple)
Lineage: Eukaryota; Viridiplantae; Streptophyta; Magnoliopsida; Poales; Bromeliaceae
Description: long non-coding RNA (ACOM_LNC029619)
Source: RNAcentral
CUAAUGUAUGGCGGUAAAAAUGUCUGAUAUUGAAGCACAUACAAUAUCCAAAUUUGAAUAUUUGAUGGCACUACCUCAUGAAUAUGUUAUAAACCCACUGCUUCUUUGAAAAAGCCUAUUUUAGGUUGUUCUUCUUAGGCUUCGUUUGGGAUUGCGAGGAGAUUGCAUUAUGUGCGGUGAAAAAAUACGAUAGAAAAAUACUUUAUUUGUUUUCGUACGUAAUAUUGUGUUCUGCAUAUCACGAAGAGUCGGUUACGAUAUAUUUUAUGCGAUCACACUGGAGAAUACAGAAGUAUAUCCUUAUAUACUUUUAUCCCAGCUCCAUUUUAUCUAAUGGUGUCAGAUGAGUCUCAAUACCAAACUAAGCCUUAAUGGAACUUCAUUGUGGAUCUUCCCCUUUUGGGCUUUAAAAGUUGAUUUUGAGAUAUUUUGCUACUUGGGCCUCCAUUUUUCAUUUUUUUUAAAAAAAUUUUCCCUUCAUACCAAGCAUGUAAAAACUGUUAAAACUUUUACGCCAAAAUUUUCUUUUCAAUCUACUUUC